AAAAAAUGCUGACUGGGACAGGGGGGUUACAGUUUUAUUUUAAGAUUAGUUUAUGUACUGUGAAAUAACAUGAAUAUUAAUAUUUUUAAUGAUAGGAUUAACUAACAUAAACAGAUUGUUCAUUGUUAGUUCAUGUUAGUUAAUGCAUGUUUUAAUGUAAACCAAAGAGAGCUUAUUAUAAAUUGUUGCCAACACAUUUCAUGAUCUAUAACCAUUUUUAAAAAUAAUUUUAAUGAGCUAUAAACAUUUUUGAAAUGAUUAUAUAAAAUUAUAUUACCAGUAAAAUUCAUUAGCUUUUUAAAAUACGUAUAAUUUUUCUUUGAAAGAUUUUUAUAAAUGAUUUAAAUGCUCUUUACACGUUUCUACAACAAUUAUUUAAAAGUAAUCCUAAAGCGCCAUCUGGUGGUGGCCAUGAUUGGUAUUACACACUGCACGUUUGGUGUUGCUCUCUGAACCGGUCAGAAUGAAGCGCGGCUAAAUGAAGCAACAGAAUACACUGGGCAUAUGUCUACGUAACUCCAGGUUCACACACUCUGUUUGUAAUGCGUAUUUUUUCCGAGCCCAUGUUAAUGGAUCAGAGCGUUCACACUGCACACGGUAAAAGAUGUGAACAGAAAAGGUUAGAAAUAGAAAGGUGCGAAAAGAAUGAAUAUCUAGCGCAUGAGCAUAGAGAGUUGUGAGUGCACAGGACACAGUUUGAGCAGAGGAAACUCGUUUUAAUUGUGCGCACUGAGCGAAAUCAGCAUGUAUCUGAGCACGCGUGUCUGGUUUUAAGCGUGCCAACAAAGAGAUUCGCGCUCGCGCAUUAUUUAAUGUGCUUUCGCGUUACAAUAACUCGCUCUCGCUCCUGCUUCUGUACCGCAUACACAUACUGCAUACGCACUGCAGACAGAGUACGUGUGAACCUGUAUAAUGUAUAACAAAUCUAUUUCAACACCUGAGGCACCGCUACAAUGAGCUCUAUGACCAAUGCAUGGCAAGAAAACAUCCCUAAUAAUUCAGCACUCCUGAAUAUAAGGAGUUUUUCACUUCCAGCCUUCAAGGACAAUUAUAUAUCACUCAUAAAUGAUUAAAUAACAAAUGUAUAGUAUUUAUUAAGAUUGAUGUGAUUUGGAAUAGGUAAAAUGUACUUGGAAAAAAAUAUCACCAGAAUAUCAGUGUGACUAAUUAUUAUGCACUCGGUGAAAAAGCAUUUUUAACAAUUUUAUUGAUCUAUAAGCAUUAUUUAUUAAGAUUGAUGUGAUUUGGAAUAGGUAAAAUGUACUUGGAAAAAAAUAUCACCAGAAUAUCAGUGUGACUAAUUAUUAUGCACUCGGUGAAAAAGCAUUUUUAACAAUUUUAUUGAUCUAUAA
Cyprinus carpio carpio is the source of this 1352-nucleotide long non-coding RNA. The record is from Ensembl. Lineage: Eukaryota; Metazoa; Chordata; Actinopteri; Cypriniformes; Cyprinidae.